GAGUUUGAUCGUGGCUCAGAUUGAACGCUGGCGGCAUGCCUUACACAUGCAAGUCGAACGGCAGCACGGGAGCUUGCUCCUGGUGGCGAGUGGCGAACGGGUGAGUAAUGCAUCGGAACGUAUCCUGGAGUGGGGGAUAACGUAGCGAAAGUUACGCUAAUACCGCAUAUUCUGUGAGCAGGAAAGCGGGGGACCUUCGGGCCUCGCGCUCUUGGAGCGGCCGAUGUCGGAUUAGCUAGUUGGUGAGGUAAAGGCUCACCAAGGCGGCGAUCCGUAACUGGUCUGAGAGGAUGAUCAGUCACACUGGAACUGAGACACGGUCCAGACUCCUACGGGAGGCAGCAGUGGGGAAUAUUGGACAAUGGGCGAAAGCCUGAUCCAGCCAUGCCGCGUGUGUGAAGAAGGUCUUCGGAUUGUAAAGCACUUUAAGUUGGGUAGGAAGGGCGAGUAAGUUAAUACCUUGCUGUUUUGACGUUACCGACAGAAUAAGCACCGGCUAACUCUGUGCCA
This 510-nucleotide ribosomal RNA is filed under the name bacterium enrichment culture clone ALO1_GLFRUDD03GB30D. Its description in RNAcentral is "bacterial SSU rRNA". It matches the Rfam family "Bacterial small subunit ribosomal RNA", at positions 9 to 510 of the family's 1533-position model. The record is from RNAcentral.